UUCAUGUUGGAUCAUGGGCAAGCCACCAGU
Molecule: non-coding RNA, 30 nt
Filed under: Mus musculus (house mouse)
Lineage: Eukaryota; Metazoa; Chordata; Mammalia; Rodentia; Muridae
Source: RNAcentral